Molecule: ribosomal RNA, 59 nt
Filed under: Alternaria sp.
Lineage: Eukaryota; Fungi; Ascomycota; Dothideomycetes; Pleosporales; Pleosporaceae
Description: partial 28S ribosomal RNA
Source: RNAcentral
UUUUGACCUCGGAUCAGGUAGGGAUACCCGCUGAACUUAAGCAUAUCAAUAAGCCGGAG